This 805-nucleotide ribosomal RNA is filed under the name uncultured Paracoccaceae bacterium. RNAcentral describes it as "bacterial SSU rRNA". It matches the Rfam family "Bacterial small subunit ribosomal RNA", at positions 36 to 888 of the family's 1533-position model. The record is from RNAcentral. Lineage: Bacteria; Pseudomonadati; Pseudomonadota; Alphaproteobacteria; Rhodobacterales; Paracoccaceae.
CUGGCGGCAGGCCUUAUACAUGCAAGUCGAGCGCAUCCUUCGGGAUGAGCGGCGGACGGGUGAGUAACGCGUGGGAAUGUGCCCUUCUCUACGGAAUAGCCACUGGAAACGGUGAGUAAUACCGUAUACGCCCUCAGGGGGAAAGAUUUAUCGGAGAAGGAUCAGCCCGCGUUAGAUUAGGUAGUUGGUGGGGUAAUGGCCUACCAAGCCUACGAUCUAUAGCUGGUUUUAGAGGAUGAUCAGCCACACUGGGACUGAGACACGGCCCAGACUCCUACGGGAGGCAGCAGUAGGGAAUCUUGGACAAUGGGGGCAACCCUGAUCCAGCCAUGCCGCGUGAGUGAAGAAGGCCCUAGGGUCGUAAAGCUCUUUCGCCUGUGAUGAUAAUGACAGUAGCAGGUAAAGAAACCCCGGCUAACUCCGUGCCAGCAGCCGCGGUAAUACGGAGGGGGUUAGCGUUGUUCGGAAUUACUGGGCGUAAAGCGCGCGUAGGCGGAUUGGAAAGUUGGGGGUGAAAUCCCGGGGCUCAACCCCGGAACUGCCUUCAAAACUCCCAGUCUAGAGUUCGAGAGAGGUGAGUGGAAUUCCGAGUGUAGAGGUGAAAUUCGUAGAUAUUCGGAAGAACACCAGUGGCGAAGGCGGCUCACUGGCUCGAUACUGACGCUGAGGUGCGAAAGUGUGGGGAGCAAACAGGAUUAGAUACCCUGGUAGUCCACACCGUAAACGAUGAAUGCCAGUCGUCGGAUAGUAUACUAUUCGGUGACACACCUAACGGAUUAAGCAUUCCGCCUGGGGAGUACGGUCG